RNAcentral lists this ribosomal RNA (2924 nucleotides) under Escherichia coli. RNAcentral's name for it is "bacterial LSU rRNA". It matches the Rfam family "Bacterial large subunit ribosomal RNA". The record is from RNAcentral. Lineage: Bacteria; Pseudomonadati; Pseudomonadota; Gammaproteobacteria; Enterobacterales; Enterobacteriaceae.
GGUUAAGCGACUAAGCGUACACGGUGGAUGCCCUGGCAGUCAGAGGCGAUGAAGGACGUGCUAAUCUGCGAUAAGCGUCGGUAAGGUGAUAUGAACCGUUAUAACCGGCGAUUUCCGAAUGGGGAAACCCAGUGUGUUUCGACACACUAUCAUUAACUGAAUCCAUAGGUUAAUGAGGCGAACCGGGGGAACUGAAACAUCUAAGUACCCCGAGGAAAAGAAAUCAACCGAGAUUCCCCCAGUAGCGGCGAGCGAACGGGGAGGAGCCCAGAGCCUGAAUCAGUGUGUGUGUUAGUGGAAGCGUCUGGAAAGGCGCGCGAUACAGGGUGACAGCCCCGUACACAAAAAUGCACAUGCUGUGAGCUCGAUGAGUAGGGCGGGACACGUGGUAUCCUGUCUGAAUAUGGGGGGACCAUCCUCCAAGGCUAAAUACUCCUGACUGACCGAUAGUGAACCAGUACCGUGAGGGAAAGGCGAAAAGAACCCCGGCGAGGGGAGUGAAAAAGAACCUGAAACCGUGUACGUACAAGCAGUGGGAGCACGCUUAGGCGUGUGACUGCGUACCUUUUGUAUAAUGGGUCAGCGACUUAUAUUCUGUAGCAAGGUUAACCGAAUAGGGGAGCCGAAGGGAAACCGAGUCUUAACUGGGCGUUAAGUUGCAGGGUAUAGACCCGAAACCCGGUGAUCUAGCCAUGGGCAGGUUGAAGGUUGGGUAACACUAACUGGAGGACCGAACCGACUAAUGUUGAAAAAUUAGCGGAUGACUUGUGGCUGGGGGUGAAAGGCCAAUCAAACCGGGAGAUAGCUGGUUCUCCCCGAAAGCUAUUUAGGUAGCGCCUCGUGAAUUCAUCUCCGGGGGUAGAGCACUGUUUCGGCAAGGGGGUCAUCCCGACUUACCAACCCGAUGCAAACUGCGAAUACCGGAGAAUGUUAUCACGGGAGACACACGGCGGGUGCUAACGUCCGUCGUGAAGAGGGAAACAACCCAGACCGCCAGCUAAGGUCCCAAAGUCAUGGUUAAGUGGGAAACGAUGUGGGAAGGCCCAGACAGCCAGGAUGUUGGCUUAGAAGCAGCCAUCAUUUAAAGAAAGCGUAAUAGCUCACUGGUCGAGUCGGCCUGCGCGGAAGAUGUAACGGGGCUAAACCAUGCACCGAAGCUGCGGCAGCGACGCUUAUGCGUUGUUGGGUAGGGGAGCGUUCUGUAAGCCUGUGAAGGUGUGCUGUGAGGCAUGCUGGAGGUAUCAGAAGUGCGAAUGCUGACAUAAGUAACGAUAAAGCGGGUGAAAAGCCCGCUCGCCGGAAGACCAAGGGUUCCUGUCCAACGUUAAUCGGGGCAGGGUGAGUCGACCCCUAAGGCGAGGCCGAAAGGCGUAGUCGAUGGGAAACAGGUUAAUAUUCCUGUACUUGGUGUUACUGCGAAGGGGGGACGGAGAAGGCUAUGUUGGCCGGGCGACGGUUGUCCCGGUUUAAGCGUGUAGGCUGGUUUUCCAGGCAAAUCCGGAAAAUCAAGGCUGAGGCGUGAUGACGAGGCACUACGGUGCUGAAGCAACAAAUGCCCUGCUUCCAGGAAAAGCCUCUAAGCAUCAGGUAACAUCAAAUCGUACCCCAAACCGACACAGGUGGUCAGGUAGAGAAUACCAAGGCGCUUGAGAGAACUCGGGUGAAGGAACUAGGCAAAAUGGUGCCGUAACUUCGGGAGAAGGCACGCUGAUAUGUAGGUGAAGUCCCUCGCGGAUGGAGCUGAAAUCAGUCGAAGAUACCAGCUGGCUGCAACUGUUUAUUAAAAACACAGCACUGUGCAAACACGAAAGUGGACGUAUACGGUGUGACGCCUGCCCGGUGCCGGAAGGUUAAUUGAUGGGGUCAGCGCAAGCGAAGCUCUUGAUCGAAGCCCCGGUAAACGGCGGCCGUAACUAUAACGGUCCUAAGGUAGCGAAAUUCCUUGUCGGGUAAGUUCCGACCUGCACGAAUGGCGUAAUGAUGGCCAGGCUGUCUCCACCCGAGACUCAGUGAAAUUGAACUCGCUGUGAAGAUGCAGUGUACCCGCGGCAAGACGGAAAGACCCCGUGAACCUUUACUAUAGCUUGACACUGAACAUUGAGCCUUGAUGUGUAGGAUAGGUGGGAGGCUUAGAAGUGUGGACGCCAGUCUGCAUGGAGCCGACCUUGAAAUACCACCCUUUAAUGUUUGAUGUUCUAACGUUGACCCGUAAUCCGGGUUGCGGACAGUGUCUGGUGGGUAGUUUGACUGGGGCGGUCUCCUCCUAAAGAGUAACGGAGGAGCACGAAGGUUGGCUAAUCCUGGUCGGACAUCAGGAGGUUAGUGCAAUGGCAUAAGCCAGCUUGACUGCGAGCGUGACGGCGCGAGCAGGUGCGAAAGCAGGUCAUAGUGAUCCGGUGGUUCUGAAUGGAAGGGCCAUCGCUCAACGGAUAAAAGGUACUCCGGGGAUAACAGGCUGAUACCGCCCAAGAGUUCAUAUCGACGGCGGUGUUUGGCACCUCGAUGUCGGCUCAUCACAUCCUGGGGCUGAAGUAGGUCCCAAGGGUAUGGCUGUUCGCCAUUUAAAGUGGUACGCGAGCUGGGUUUAGAACGUCGUGAGACAGUUCGGUCCCUAUCUGCCGUGGGCGCUGGAGAACUGAGGGGGGCUGCUCCUAGUACGAGAGGACCGGAGUGGACGCAUCACUGGUGUUCGGGUUGUCAUGCCAAUGGCACUGCCCGGUAGCUAAAUGCGGAAGAGAUAAGUGCUGAAAGCAUCUAAGCACGAAACUUGCCCCGAGAUGAGUUCUCCCUGACUCCUUGAGAGUCCUGAAGGAACGUUGAAGACGACGACGUUGAUAGGCCGGGUGUGUAAGCGCAGCGAUGCGUUGAGCUAACCGGUACUAAUGAACCGUGAGGCUUAACCUUACAACGCCGAAGCUGUUUUG